RNAcentral lists this ribosomal RNA (253 nucleotides) under uncultured bacterium. Its description in RNAcentral is "partial 16S ribosomal RNA". It matches the Rfam family "Bacterial small subunit ribosomal RNA", at positions 524 to 776 of the family's 1533-position model. The record is from RNAcentral.
UACGGAGGGUGCAAGCGUUAUCCGGAUUCACUGGGUUUAAAGGGUGCGUAGGCGGGUUGGUAAGUCCGUGGUGAAAUCCCCAAGCUUAACUUGGGAACUGCCGUGGAUACUUUCAAUCUUGAAUAUCGUGGAGGUAAGCGGAAUAUGUCAUGUAGCGGUGAAAUGCUUAGAUAUGACAUAGAACACCAAUUGCGUAGGCAGCUUACUACACGAUCAUUGACGCUGAGGCACGAAAGCGUGGGGAGCAAACAGG